UAAGCAUAAACGAAUACAUUACAAGUCAUAUAACAAAUAUAAACAUAUGCAGACUUGUAAACAAAACAACUUGAUGGUUCAUCCAUCUCAUGCCCUUCCGCCACCACCUGUAAUACAAUUUAAAACUGAGUGGGUCAGGCUUGGGAGCCUGGUGAGCAUAUAGGGUUUUCAACCCACAAUAAAUAUCAUAUUUAAUUUUCACCAACCAACAAUAACCCAAUUACCCAUUCCCGUUAUUCUCACUUUAAUGUCCCUAAAACAACUAACAUAAGGGACCUAGUCUAAGAAUAUUUCAUCGGGGCGACAACACAUGCUUCGGGGGUACCUCAGCAAUAUAAGUCAAAUAAGGCAACCAUGAGGGGGAUGGAGUACAGCGAAUGAACACCCAAGUUCAUUAACACCUACAGGUGGCGAACCUGCUAAUGUUUCCACAAGACUGUCUAGAAUAGCCAGUGGUCGUCAUCUAAACUCCGCUAGAUGACUCAAUCAAACAACAACGAGGCCUCUCAUCUGUUUAUUACACACCAACUGUCUACCCAUGUUCUACCCAACAUAUUAGUAGAUAAAAAUAUACAUUUGUAUACAUAGUUUAAAGAAAACCUGUAUAGCAUGCUUUAAUCAACACAUAUAUCACAUAACAGAUGAGGCACACACACACAUAACACAUAUCUCAUAAAGAAAUAAGCAGAUCUAUAAGAUAGAAGAGAGUGAAUACUCAUUCACACAUAACACAACCAAAUAUAUACACAUAGCACGUAUUUUUAUAUAAAAUACUUCGUAUUAUUGUAUUAGAAGAAAUAACUACACACUCACUUGAUCAGAAGAUGAUCGGACAGCACUACGGCUUAUAGAAGUAGUAAUCCACAGCAGAUCUGGAAGAUCUUCUCGAAAAUCGAACUUCUCGCGGGCAGAGCUUCGACUCGGGAACCGCACUUUUCGGGAUCUUCAGGAUCUCGGGACUUGCCUCGGGGCUAGAGUAUGAUACCGGGACUUCGGGGUAGCUUCGGGGGUUUUUGCACAGAGCUUCGACACGAAAACGAGAGGGAAUUGGCAAAAAUACCCGGAACCCUCGCAUCCUAUUUAUAGGAGGCUGGAGCCUCGGAGUACGCGGGGCGUACUGCGUUACGCGGGGCGUACUGCCCAAAACGUCAUUGCUUACGUAUCCGAAGUGCUCGAGUGCGAGUGUCGACAUCCCUCGGAGUACGCGGGGCGUACUCGAGUACGCGGGGCGUACCUCGGAUCAGAUCGGUGACUCCUUCGGAUAAUGCUUCCGAAUUUUGAAUUAAAAAUAAAUACAAAAUGAUUAAUAAACUUCGGAAAUUCAUAACUUCUUCAUACGAACUCCGUUUUCGACGUUCUUUAUAUCCACGCGAAGGUGAGACCACGCUCUACGACUUUCGUUUAGACUCCGUCGGCUAAUUUUGACUUUAUUUUUAUUAAUUAUUUUUAAUAGGCCGGGACAGAAACUUUCGUUAUAAAUUCAUAACUUCUUCGUUUGACGUCCGUUCUCGCCUAACUUUUUAUCGUUUCAAUACCAACAAUGAGAUCUUCGAUUCUCAUUUAGAUUGCUUCGGCUAACAACCGCUCGAUCUCAAAUCGAGUAAAACAGGCUGUAUAUCGCUAAGCCGGAACUUCGAUAAAUCAUAACUUCCUCAUACGAAGUCAGAUUUGGGCGUUCUAUAUAUAUUCGGAAACCUCGUUUCAACUACUACAACAUUAACCAAAGAUAUUAAGUUUAUUUUACACUUAAAUUUUGACGCUUAUUUUUAUUCUUAAUUAAUCAAACCACAUAAUUAAGCAAUUAAGCACAAAACACAUAAUACUCAAAUAAUACAAUCUUAUUAUUUCAAAACGGGUUACAAAGGUUAACCUAGACUAUUACAUUGCUAAAAAUGGCAAGCCCGGAAACACAGGCGUUACAAUUCUCUCCACCUUAGAAUGAUUCCGUCCCCGGAAUCACACAUCAACAAACAAAUGCGGAUAGCGACUCAACAUGUCACUCUCCGUCUCCCAGGUGAGAUUCGGCCCAUUCGUGUGUUUCCAUCGGACAAGCACUAACCCAACCAUUUUGCGUCGCAACUUCUUAGUCUUUCGGUCAACAAUUGCCUCUGGUUCUUCAAUCAACCUUUUGUUCUCAUCAAUUCUCAAUUCAGAAAUUGGAAUUAUAUCGGGAACUUCUCCCGUGAACUUCCUCAAAUAACACACAUGAAAGGUGUUGUGAAUUCCAUUCAGUUCUUCGGGUAAUUCGAGCUUGUAAGCUUGAUUCCCAAUCCUCUGAAGGACUUUAAACGGUCCAAUAAACCUUGGACUCAACUUUCCCCUUUUACCAAAUCUUAUAAGUCCCUUCCACGGCGAGACUUUAAGCAAAACCGAAUCUCCAACCUCAAAAGUCAUCGGUCUUCGCUUCUUGUCAGCAUAGCUCUUUUGACGAUCUUGAGCUGCUAACAUUCUUUCCCUAAUUAUUUUCAACUUUUCAGCAGUUUGAUGAACCAUCUCCGGUCCCAUAAACUGCUUUUCCCCAGCCUCAAGCCAACAAGACGGCGUACGACACUUCUGUCCAUACAAAGCUUGAUAAGGUGCCAUCUUAAUGCUCGAGUGAAAACUAUUAUUAUAGGAAAAUUCUACCAACGGUAAAUGUUCAUCCCAAUUACCUAGGAAUUCCAAGGUACAUGCUCUCAGCAUAUCUUCAAGUGUUUGUAUUGUUCUUUCACUCUGACCAUCAGUCUGCGGAUGGUAAGCUGUGCUUAAACAUAACUUGGUACCCAUUUCCUCUUGUAGACUUUUCCAAAACCUUGAGGUGAAACGGCUAUCACGAUCCGAUACAAUCGUUAACGGAACACCGUGAAGCCUCACAAUUUCCUUCACGUAAGAAUUCGCAAGCUUUUCCAUAGACCAUUUCUCCCUGGCCGCUAUGAAAUGCGCACUCUUAGUGAAUCGAUCAACGACCACCCAAAUCAUGUCGUGACCAUUCUUUGUUCUGGGCAGUUUAGUGACAAAAUCCAUAGCAAUGUCUUCCCACUUACCCAUAGGCACAGGCAAUGGUUCUAAACUCCCGUAAGGUUUCUGAUGUUGUGUCUUGACUCUCGCACAAGUCACACACUCGGCCACAUACUUUGCAACAUCAAGCUUCAUCGUCGGCCACCAGUAGUAGGGUUUCAGGUCCCUAUACAUUUUAGUGCUACCCGGAUGAAUUGAGUACAUGGUUUUGUGAGCUUCUUCCAUCAGAAGAUCCCUAAUUCCUCCUGACUUAGGUACCCAAAUACGAUCUUGGAAUACCUUCAGUCCAUGACCGUUAGUACCAAACACCAACGUUUUACCCAAACGUUCCUCCUUUCGGUCAUUUUUCUCAGAAGCUUCCUCUUGAGCUUUCUUUAUACUUUCCACAAUAGUCGAGACAACUUCAAUUCUCAACGCUCUUGGCCUCUUCCUUUCAAGAUUGACUUUCCGACUGAGAGCAUCAGCAACAACAUUAGCUUUACCGGGGUGGUAAAGUAUCUCGCAGUCGUAGUCUUUAAGUAAUUCUAGCCAGCGUCGUUGCCUCAUAUUCAAUUCUUUCUGAUUAAAGAGGUAUUGGAGACUCUUAUGAUCAGUGAAAAGUUUGCACUUCGUGCCAUAGAGGUAAUGCCUCCAUAUUUUCAGAGCGAAAACUACCGCUGCCAACUCCAAAUCAUGAGUCGGGUAAUUCUUUUCAUGCUCUUUCAGCUGUCGAGACGCAUAUGCUAUCACCUUUUCUCUUUGGGUCAAAACACAACCCAAUCCAACACCAGACGCAUCGCUAUAAACAGCGAAGUCUUCAACUCCAUCGGGUAGAGAAAGUAUCGGUGCCUCGCAUAGCUUCUUCUUUAACUUCUCGAAUGCUUCUUUAUGCUUCUCACUCCAAGCAUAAGUAGCUCCUUUGUGGGUCAAAGCUGUUAAUGGAGUAGCAAUCGAAGAAAAGCCUUGGAUAAACCUUCGGUAAUAUCCGGCUAAUCCUAAAAAGCUUCGAAUCUCCGUGGGACUUUUCGGUUGUUCCCACUUCGUCACAGCUUCGAUCUUCGCUGGAUCAACCAUUAUCCCUUCUUGGUUGACCACGUGACCCAAGAAUUGGACCUCACGAAUCCAAAAAUCACAUUUGGAGAACUUCGCAUAAAGCUUCUCCUUCUUCAAAACUUCUAACACUUCUCGCAAGUGUCUGCCAUGCUCCUCCUGGCUUUUCGAGUAGAUCAGAAUGUCGUCUAUGAACACUAUCACGGAUUUAUCAAGGAAAGGAUUACAAACCCUAUUCAUCAAAUCCAUGAACGCUGCUGGAGCAUUGGUUAGUCCAAACGACAUAACCAAGAACUCGUAGUGUCCAUAUCUAGUUCUGAAUGCAGUCUUCUCGAUAUCUUGCUCUCUUACUUUCAGCUGAUGAUAUCCUGACCUAAGAUCGAUCUUCGAGAAAUAGCUCGAACCUUGCAAUUGAUCAAACAGGUCAUCAAUCCUCGGCAACGGAUAUCUAUUCUUUAUUGUUGCCUUGUUCAGCUCUCUGUAAUCGAUGCACAUUCUCAUACUUCCAUCUUUCUUCUUUACAAAUAACACCGGAGCUCCCCAGGGCGAUGAACUAGGUCUAAUGAAACCUUUGUCCAAUAACUCCUGAAGUUGCAUCAUCAGCUCCUUCAUCUCCGUCGGUGCUAAUCGAUAAGGUGCUUUUGCUAUUGGCGUGGUUCCUGGUAACAAGUCUAUUCUGAACUCCACUUGUCUAUCAGGUGGUAAUCCAGGAAGAUCCUCGGGAAAUACUUCCGGAUAAUCACACACCACUGGAAUGCUCUGCAUCACCUUCUUUUCUUUCUUAGCAUCAAUCACGAAUGCUAAAUAUGAUGUACAUCCCUUGGUCAAACACUUUCUGGCUUUCAUUAGAGAAAUGAUUCCAGAAUUCACUCUGCGUUUGUCCCCAUACACCAUAAACGAAUCUUUCCCAGGCGGGUUUACUUUAACUAUCUUCUUCUUGCACAAAAUUUCGGCAUCAUUGGCGCUAAGCCAAUCCAUUCCCAAGACGAUGUCGAAACCAUUUAGUUCGAUAGGCAAUAAUUCCUCGAGAAACUUAUUCCCAUUAAGGUCGAUCAAGACGUUUUUCAUACGAUGGCUAACAGGUACAAACUUGCCACUAGCUACUUCGACUAAUAAAGCAUUAUCUAGUCUAUCAACAGGCAAAGCUAGCUUUCUACCAAACUCAUGCGAAAUAAAGGAGUAGUUGGCUCCAGAAUCAAACAAUAUAUGAGCAGGUAAUUCGUUUACGAGAAAGGUACCUGAAGCGACAUCAGCUUCAUCUUUCGCAGCCUCAAGUGUCAUCUGGAAGGCUCUCGCCUUCGGCUUUGGUGGAAUGUUGGGCCUAGCUGCCUCCUUCUUCUUCGGACAGUCUUUCAAAAUAUGCCCCUCUUCAUUACACCCAAAACACAUCCUUUUGUUGUUCGGACAUUCAUUGGCAAAAUGUCCAACCUUUCCACACUUGUAGCAGGUCACAUCCUCGCUACAUUUCCCAAAGUGCUUUUUCUUACACUUAUCACACCACUUUGCUUCGCCUCCUUUUCCUCCAAACUUUUUCGAAUCAGAUUUCGAAAAUUUGCUCUUCUUACUGGAACCAGAUGUUCCUUCAAACUUCCUUUUCUCACCAACCUCAACCUUGACGGUGGUUCUCCCCUUGAUCAUGUUCUCCACAGACUUGGCAGCCCAGAUAGCUGCCUCUAGAGUAAGUGCCUGACGUACCGGCACCUCGUACUCCCAUGGAAGUCCCUUCGCAUACCGAUCCACCUUUGUCAGCUCGUCUGGAACGAUACGCAAGGCAAACUCCAUCUUAUCGGUGAAGUUAUUGGUGUACUCAUCCACUGACAUGCUACCCUUCGUCAAUGUCAAAAACUUGUUCUCCAACUCCAACAGAUUUUGAGCCGAGCAGAACUUGCGCUUGAACUGCACCAAGAACUCUGCCCAUGACAAUUGCAGUGGCUCAUUAGGGCUUAAGGUCUUCCCUAGAGUGUUCCACCAACGAACGGCUCCACCUCGGAAUUGUCGCACGGCAUAGAUAGUCUGCAACUUGCCUCUACAGCCACAUGUCAUAAAGGCUAACUCCAUUUCGGAGAUCCAAUCCAUAACCCCAAUCGGAUCCUCCUUUCCAUUGAAGGUCGAUGGUUUACAAGUCAAAAAGUCCUUGUACUUGCAUCCCAUUCCAUCAUUCCUUCCAUCAUGGUUAUCUUGCCUAACUAUCGGUGGGUUGGCUGGACCAACAGACCCACUGAAGUUUCCACCUUCCGAGUGCCCUUCAUUCAGUUCAGGCUCUUCCACACGAAUCGACAGUUCUUCACGAUUUUGUUGAAGCAACCGUCUAGUUUCAUCCAUCUGACGAUCCAACAUCGUCUGAAUCAUCAAUUGCACACCAGCCAUGGUUAUUGGCUCAGGUGCUGCUGCUACGACAGGUAUUGGCUCAAUCACUGGUGGUUGAUUCCUGUUUUCGUCAGCAUUUCCAACUCCACUUCUUGUUCUCACCAUUUUGAUCUACACCGAAUAAGGUGAAAUUAGAUCCUCAAUCAUGAUAGAUAUUCAAAUCAUCCUUAUCACUCCGAAACGUUUACAUGCUAGUUCUAAUAUCGUAGACGUACGCUUAGAAUCCUACACACAUAAGGUUUCUAGAUCCGGUCGGCAACAGACCAUAGAUCCGAACAAAUAAUAUCAUAUAUGGCAACAUAUAACAUUUAGCACAUAAAGCAUUUUAGGCAACUUUCCUAAAAUAAACUAGUGCUCGUGUCUAAAUCACAACAGACACACAUCUCAAAACUUCACUUAGCAUUCUAAGUUUAAGUCUAGAAAUCCUACAAAUUCCUAGUUCGCUUAAACUAAUGCUCUGAUACCAACUGUGACAUCCCCAAAAUCUCGGCCAGAAAAGACCGAUUUUCAUUUAUGCUUUUAAAUAUUUUCAGAGUAAAUCCUUUUGAUUUGAAAGAGUUGCGGAAUUUGUUCCCAAAAACAAAACAUGAUAAAACAUUGUUUACCGAAGCAUUUCAUAAAAGAAAUGUAUUUUCAUUAUAAUCAAAACUCGGGGUGUCAUGUUCCGAUACAGACCAAUAAGCAUAAACGAAUACAUUACAAGUCAUAUAACAAAUAUAAACAUAUGCAGACUUGUAAACAAAACAACUUGAUGGUUCAUCCAUCUCAUGCCCUUCCGCCACUACCUGUAAUACAAUUUAAAACUGAGUGGGUCAGGCUUGGGAGCCUGGUGAGCAUAUAGGGUUUUCAACCCACAAUAAAUAUCAUAUUUAAUUUUCACCAACCAACAAUAACCCAAUUACCCAUUCCCGUUAUUCUCACUUUAAUGUCCCUAAAACAACUAACAUAAGGGACCUAGUCUAAGAAUAUUUCAUCGGGGCGACAACACAUGCUUCGGGGGUACCUCAGCAAUA
This 7406-nucleotide long non-coding RNA is filed under the name Lactuca sativa (garden lettuce). RNAcentral describes it as "long non-coding RNA (LSAT_LNC007965)". Lineage: Eukaryota; Viridiplantae; Streptophyta; Magnoliopsida; Asterales; Asteraceae. The record is from RNAcentral.